This is a long non-coding RNA of Amborella trichopoda, 3203 nucleotides long. RefSeq lists it as uncharacterized. NCBI's taxonomy places the organism in Eukaryota, Viridiplantae, Streptophyta, Magnoliopsida, Amborellales, Amborellaceae. The record is from RefSeq and is a predicted model, not a curated record.
UGCUGCGUUCUGAGCAGCGUUCUUCUUUAUGAAUUUGAAACUGAUAAGGCUCUGCAACUUGUCUCUGCUGUGAAAGUUUUGAGAGCUCUUCCCUUAAGAUAGCUUGGCUUCAUUGUGUUGACAACAUCUGAUGUGAAAGAAUGUUGGUGGUAAAGUCCUUCGCUUCUUUUAUUAAAUUGACUUUCACUCCAUUUCCAUGAGUAUUUUUUUUGGCCUGCACUUUCCUUGCAGAACUAGUGGUUGUGUUCAUCAGUUUUUGGAUAUAAGAUUUAGUUUUGGUGGAUGUGUUAUUCUUUGUUAUUUCUUGGAAUUCCCUUUUUUAUUAUUGCCUUUGUAAUCUUCAAUCAGGUAUGUUUUUUGUUUUUCUUAUGGCUAAUAAGGAUAGUAACUCUAAAUAUUCCACACAAUACUAGUAUUAAACUAACUACUACCCUGCUCAAUGGACUCGAUUAUAUUGCCUGGUUAAGGGCUGUAUAUUUGGCCUUGGGUGGAAAAUCUAAGUUUGGGCAUGUCACUUGAAAGAUAAAGGCGCCUAAAUCUGAUGAUCCUACAUUUGAAAAUUGGCAAGCCAAUGAUCAAAUGGUUAUGUAUUGGAUUUUGAAUUCCAUGCAACCUGCAAUUGUUGAAAUAUUCACCCACUCAGACACAUCUGAACAAUUAUGGGAAUCUAUUAAGUCUGUAUAUGGUAAUCAAAAUAAUAUAGCUCGCAUAUAUCAAUUAAAGUAAGAAAUAUCUCCGGUUAAACAGAAAAAGUCAGUAACUGAGUUAGUUGUCAGUCUCAAACCAAUGUGGGAUGAGUUGACCACUUAUACUCCUGCCACUAUUGACUUGGCCAUCAUCCAAAAGCGUGUUGAACAAGACCAAGUUUUUCAAUUUCUUGCUGCUUUAAAAUGAGAUGUCUACUAGUAAAGAAACAAGAGGAGGAGGUCGUUUUCGUAGAUAUGGUAGAGGGCGUCAAAAUGGAAGAAGGACCACCUUUAAAUGUGAUCAUUGCAAAGCUCUUGGUCAUACAAAUGACCGAUGUUGGCUUUUACAUCCCCACUUGAGACAUUCAAAGGAUAUAGGAGGUGACAGAGCUGGCUCUCAAGCAUCCACAGCUGAUUCACAAAUUACUCUGAAAAAAUUGCUCAAUUUUUCCAACAAUAUGGUAAGAGUGGCAAUAUCUCCACACAUGACCCUCCUCAGAAAACAGGUAAUUCCUCACCUUACUCUUUUCAUUCUUAUUCAAAUAUUCAUUCUUGGGUUAUUGAUUCAGUAGCUACUGAUCAUAUGACUGGUAAUCUUAAGUGCUUAACCAGUUAGGAGAAAUCUUCUAGUAUGCCUCCCAUAUCAAUAGCCAAUUAUUCAAUUAUUUAUGUUCACGGUUUCAGAAAAUAUAAAAUUAUCUCUAACUCUCAUGAUUCUGAAGUACUGUUUUUACCAUCGGUUCCUUCAAAAUUGUUAUCCACGAGCAAGAUAACCAAAGAUCUAAACUGUAAUGUUCUUUUCUCUUUUUACAAUGUUAUCUUUCAAGAUCGGGCCACGGGGAGGAGAUUGGUGAAUGGAGAAUUUCGAAUGGAUUAUAUAUUCUCAUUCAAAAAAAUAAAGCCUUGGUGGCUAACUAUUUCAGUAGCAAGUUGUGGCAUGUUAGAGUUAGUCACCCUUCUUAUCAUACUUUACAAUUUUUGAUUCCUAAUCUUAGAAUCGAUUUUCAUGAGUGUGAUACUUGUCAAUUUUCUAAAAAAACCAACUUCCUUUUCAGAAGUCUAUGCAUGAUUGUGAUGGGCCCUUUCAGUUAGUUCACUCAGAUGUUUGAGAACCUACCCCUAUUGAUCGUUAUUCUGAGUAUAGAUACUUUAUUUUAUUUAUUGAUGAUUGGUCAUGUGCAACUUGGAUAUAUCUUUUAAAAUCAAAAGAUGAGGUCUUUCAGACCUUUAAGGAAUUUAAUGCUCUUGUGUCCAAUCAGUAUAAUGUCAAGAAUAAAAUUUUUCGACAUGAUAAUGGUCUUGAGUAUGUUAAUAAAAUUUUUUUUGAGUACCUUACUAGUCUUGGCAUUAUACAUCAGACCUCAUGUGUCCGGACCCCCCCAUCAGAAUGGGGUUGCUCAAAGGAAAAAUAGGCACAUUCUCGAGGUUGCUAGGUCUUUAAUGUUUGAAAAAAAUGUUCCAAAGAGAUUUUGGUCUAAAGCCAUCUUCAUUGAAUGUUACCUUAUUAAUAGACUUCCUAGUAAGGUUCUCCAUGAUAAACCCCCUCUUGAAGUUUUAAAUAAAAGGAAGAUUAACAUCUCUUACCUGCAUGUUUUGGGUGUAUUUGUUUUUCUCAUAUUCUUGAUCAUAAGUGUGACAAACUUGAUUCCCGAGCUAAUAAGUGUAUUUUUGUUGGAUAUUCCUCCACAACAAAAGGGUAAAAAUGUUAUAGUCCAAUACAAAAAAAAUAGUUUAUUUCCAUAAAUGUUCAAUUUUUUGAGGAUGAUAUUUUCACUCUGAAUUAUUUAAAAAUAGGGCUCAUGGGGAGUAUCAUCUUCCAGUUCUUGUUAGUCAAAAUAACAGUUCUUAUAAAAGAAAUAUGGAGAAUUAGAAUAUUGGCAAUGACAAUGAGAAUGAAGCUGGCAAUGACAAUGACACUUAGAGAGAAUGAUCAAAGGUCUAUUACUGGGUUUUGUACAAUGGUGGGUGGAGACCUUGUCACUUGGUAAAGUAAAAAGCAAAGUGUGGUAGCUAGAUCAAGCGCAGAAGCUGAAUAUAGAGCCAUGGAUGCAAUUGCAAGUGAACUUGUUAAAGUUUCUCCUCCAGGACCUCGGAUUUCAAGUGAAACUGCACAUGAAAAUGUUUUAUGACAAUCGUCUGCCAUUCAUAUUGCUUCAAAUCCUGUAUUUCAUGAAAGGACUAAACACAUUGAGGUUGACUGUCAUUUUGUCCGUGAUAAGGUUAAAGCUGGAAUUAUUAACACUCCAUUUGUUCAAAGUGAAGACCAGCUAGCAGAUAUUUUUACCAAGGCAAUUUCAAGGACUAAUUUUUUACAUGCUUUGAGCAAGUUGGGCUCAAUUGAUAUUUACGCACCAAUUUGAGGGGGAGUGUUGAAGGAUUCACUGUCAACCCUGCAGUUUACUAAUUUAUUGGGGUUGUUUUAUUUGUUGCUAUUCUUUUGGUUCGUUUUUUUGUUUUGUGUAUAAAUACAUUGUAAAAUCUGCUAAAAACAUAUAACCAAAAGUAGUAGAGAGUUAA